This 253-nucleotide ribosomal RNA is filed under the name uncultured bacterium. RNAcentral describes it as "partial 16S ribosomal RNA". It matches the Rfam family "Bacterial small subunit ribosomal RNA", at positions 524 to 776 of the family's 1533-position model. The record is from RNAcentral.
CACGAACCGUACAAACGUUAUUCGGAAUUACUGGGCUUAAAGGGUUUGUAGGCGGCCUUGUCAGUCAGGUGUGAAAUCCCUCGGCUCAACCGAGGAACGGCGCUUGAUACUGCAAGGCUUGAGGGAGACAGGGGUAAGCGGAACUGAUGGUGGAGCGGUGAAAUGCGUUGAUAUCAUCAGGAACACCGGUGGCGAAAGCGGCUUACUGGGUCUCUUCUGACGCUGAGGAACGAAAGCUAGGGUAGCGAACGGG